Molecule: microRNA precursor, 200 nt
Organism: Oryza sativa Japonica Group (Japanese rice)
Lineage: Eukaryota; Viridiplantae; Streptophyta; Magnoliopsida; Poales; Poaceae
Rfam family: MIR812 microRNA precursor family
Source: Rfam
UUUAAGUCCAGCUAUGAGUUUCUGUGUCUACCAUUUGAUCGUCCGCCUCAUUUGAAUUUUUUUAUAAUUAGUAUUUUUAUUGUUAUUAGAUGAUAAAAUAUGAAUAGUACUUUAUGUGUGUUUUUUAAAACUUUUUUAUAAAUUUUUAAAUAAAACAAAUGAUUAAAUGUUGGACACAGAAAUACACAACUACACUUCAA